CCUACGGGUGGCAGCAGUAGGGAAUCUUCCGCAAUGGACGAAAGUCUGACGGAGCAACGCCGCGUGAGUGAUGAAGGUUUUCGGAUCGUAAAGCUCUGUUGUUAGGGAAGAACAAGUACCGUUCGAAUAGGGCGGUACCUUGACGGUACCUAACCAGAAAGCCACGGCUAACUACGUGCCAGCAGCCGCGGUAAUACGUAGGUGGCAAGCGUUGUCCGGAAUUAUUGGGCGUAAAGGGCUCGCAGGCGGUUUCUUAAGUCUGAUGUGAAAGCCCCCGGCUCAACCGGGGAGGGUCAUUGGAAACUGGGGAACUUGAGUGCAGAAGAGGAGAGUGGAAUUCCACGUGUAGCGGUGAAAUGCGUAGAGAUGUGGAGGAACACCAGUGGCGAAGGCGACUCUCUGGUCUGUAACUGACGCUGAGGAGCGAAAGCGUGGGGAGCGAACAGGAUUAGAUACCCUAGUAGUC
Molecule: ribosomal RNA, 466 nt
Filed under: uncultured bacterium
Lineage: Bacteria
Description: bacterial SSU rRNA
Rfam family: Bacterial small subunit ribosomal RNA
Source: RNAcentral